ACCCCUGCACUACGGCCAAGGAUAUUCUUUAGUAUCACGACCACAAUUAUCCAUGCACUACGGGCCAAGAAUAUUUGUGUAUUCAUUAAUGGUCAUGAUCAUGCCAACAACUGUCCAUCAAUGCACUACGGGCCAAUGAGGAUUUUUACCACAUCAUUUGUAACAUUACGGUCAUGAUUACACCGAAUAAUCCCUGGUCAUAAUCAUAC
This 209-nucleotide long non-coding RNA is filed under the name Panax ginseng (ginseng). Its description in RNAcentral is "long non-coding RNA (PGIN_LNC008631)". The record is from RNAcentral. Lineage: Eukaryota; Viridiplantae; Streptophyta; Magnoliopsida; Apiales; Araliaceae.